UACGUAGGCAGCGAGCGUUGUUCGGAAUUACUGGGCGUAAAGAGUGUGUAGGCGGUGCUCUAAGUCUGUCGUGAAAUCUCCCGGCUUAACCGGGAGGCUGCGGCGGAAACUGGUGUGCUAGAGGGUGGGAGAGGUAAACGGAAUUCCUGGUGUAGCGGUGAAAUGCGUAGAUAUCAGGAGGAACACCUGCGGUGUAGACAGCUUACUGGACCACUUCUGACGCUGAGACACGAAAGCGUGGGUAGCAAACAGG
Molecule: ribosomal RNA, 253 nt
Filed under: uncultured bacterium
Lineage: Bacteria
Description: partial 16S ribosomal RNA
Rfam family: Bacterial small subunit ribosomal RNA
Source: RNAcentral